Gossypium arboreum is the source of this 1258-nucleotide long non-coding RNA. RefSeq lists it as uncharacterized. The transcript has 8 exons. NCBI's taxonomy places the organism in Eukaryota, Viridiplantae, Streptophyta, Magnoliopsida, Malvales, Malvaceae. The record is from RefSeq and is a predicted model, not a curated record.
GGCGCCUUUUUAUCGCAAAAUUUCUCAAAAUUUCCCGCACUAAAACCCUUAAUUUUUUCCCUAAAAUCAGUAUCCUCCAAACACUCCCAAUCUCACCCCUCUGUUGCCCUUUUCAAUAAAGAAACUCUCCAACAGCAGCGUCUCCAAGCUCUUAUCGAAGGUGUCCAUGAUUACUCUGGCUCCGCUGUACUUGGAUGGGGCGAUUGGUAUUACAUGGGUGAAGAGGAUAAAGGGAAAAGGAAGUUGAAAACUUUGUCUGCAGUUGCGGAGUAAUUCCUUGUGGAAAGAAGGAAUUUAUUGCAGAACUUUAUUCAGUAUUCUAUACACAGAUCUUCAAAAUCUGAGAGAAGAAAUUCAAUCCAAAAAAAGAAAAAGAACCCCAAAAGAUGAGGAUUAAUGGGAGUUGGAGUUGAUUUUUUAUUAAUUUUUUCAAAUGAUAUUGUUAUAUAGUAAAAAAAAGAUGAAUUCACAAAAUCAAGUGGGGUCAACUCUCAAGGAAAUACUCGAAGUGGUCAAGCCGUUGCAUGAAGACUGGGUUCCUCGGUUUAAGAUCAUCAAUGAACUGCGUGAAGUCGUUCAAUCUAUCGAAAAUUUAAGAGCUUUCGUGGUGGGCUUUUAUCCUGCUUUGUCUUUCAAAGCGAGUUCACUCAAUAUUUGUGCUUCGUCUGUUUAAUGACUGUUUCGCAAUGACACUCCUCCAUGCUGCAAUGGGAUCUAUUCUUUUUGGAUGGUGGCAUUUGGGGUUGAUUAUUUUUUGUGCUGCCCUAUCGAUAAAGAUGAAUGUCCUACUCUAUGCUCCAUCUCUUUUUAUACUCAUGCUAAAGGCUAUGAGUAUCAGUGGGGUAAUAUCAGCUUUAGCUGGUGCGGCACUUGUACAGGUGAGUUGGACUACUGCACUUAAUGUUUGUGGCAGGGGGCAUUGCCUGCCAGUGUGUUGAUUCUUUUCUACAUACUCAGUAAAGGGUUCUGCAAAUUGUGCUGGGGCUGCCAUUUUUAUUAUCAUUUCCAGUUGAAUAUAUAUCACGAGCCUUUAAUCUUGGACGUGUCUUCAUCCACUUCUGGUCUGUCAACUUCAAGUUUGUUCCCGAACCUUUCAAUUUUCAAUGUUGUUUAGAUUCGCAAACAAGAUGCUGUAUUUGGACUUGCUGUAUUUUAUUUAUAUCUUUAUAUUUAAUCUAAUUUUAUUAUUUAUUUUAGUUUUGAUUCUAUAUUUUUAUUUUUAUUUUAAUAUUUAAUAACUUGAGUUCUAACUUUUGAA